AACCAAACCAAGUGAGUCAUAAAAAGCCAAACACAUUAAUCAUCAUGAGCGUCAUUCAGGUUUGUCUUUAUCACUCUAAAUUUGCGUAGACUCUCUGGGACUGUCACAAAACCAAGUGAGUCAUAAAAAGCCAAACACAUUAAUCAUCAUGAGCGUCAUUCAGGUUUGUCUUUAUCACUCUAAAUUUGCGUAGACUCUCUGGGACUGUCACUGCAUGAUACACACACUGAGGCACAUUGUUUAUAAUUAACCCUGAGCCUUUCUAGCCAUCCCGAAUAAUUAUAUCCCUCGUUAACCCCCUUUGAGCCUAUAUCCAUUUUUUUGUUUAAACACCAUAAAUGUAACUGUUGGCCAAAACACUUCCUCACCCUGUUCAGAGUUAUGAUAAUGCAUUCAAAGCUUGUUGAA
This 408-nucleotide long non-coding RNA is filed under the name Lathyrus oleraceus (garden pea). Its description in RNAcentral is "Pisum sativum (pea) long non-coding RNA (PSAT_LNC020824)". The record is from RNAcentral. Lineage: Eukaryota; Viridiplantae; Streptophyta; Magnoliopsida; Fabales; Fabaceae.